CUGCCUCAUACAGGGGGAUAACAGUUAGAAAUGACUGCUAAUACCGCAUAAGCGCACAGGGACACAUGUUCCGGUGUGAAAAACUCCGGUGGUAUGAGAUGGACCCGCGUCUGAUUAGCUGGUUGGCGGGGUAACGGCCCACCAAGGCGACGAUCAGUAGCCGACCUGAGAGGGUGACCGGCCACAUUGGGACUGAGACACGGCCCAAACUCCUACGGGAGGCAGCAGUGGGGAAUAUUGCACAAUGGGGGAAACCCUGAUGCAGCAACGCCGCGUGAGUGAAGAAGUAUUUCGGUAUGUAAAGCUCUAUCAGCAGGGAAGAAGAUGACGGUACCUGAGUAAGAAGCCCCGGCUAACUACGUGCCAGCAGCCGCGGUAAUACGUAGGGGGCAAGCGUUAUCCGGAUUUACUGGGUGUAAAGGGAGCGUAGACGGUGAGACAAGUCUGAAGUGAAAGCCCGGGGCUCAACCCCGGGACUGCUUUGGAAACUGCCUGACUGGAGUGCUGGAGAGGCAAGCGGAAUUCCUAGUGUAGCGGUGAAAUGCGUAGAUAUUAGGAAGAACACCAGUGGCGAAGGCGGCUUGCUGGACAGUAACUGACGUUGAGGCUCGAAAGCGUGGGGAGCAAACAGGAUUAGAUACCCUGGUAGUCCACGCCGUAAACGAUGA
This 668-nucleotide ribosomal RNA is filed under the name uncultured bacterium. RNAcentral describes it as "bacterial SSU rRNA". It matches the Rfam family "Bacterial small subunit ribosomal RNA", at positions 126 to 812 of the family's 1533-position model. The record is from RNAcentral.